RNAcentral lists this long non-coding RNA (2347 nucleotides) under Olea europaea subsp. europaea. Lineage: Eukaryota; Viridiplantae; Streptophyta; Magnoliopsida; Lamiales; Oleaceae. The record is from RNAcentral.
CUCAUCUAUCCGAGGACAAUUUAUAUGAUUCAGAUAGAUCAUGUCGUCGGAUUUUUUUCCCUAGCUUCGCGAUAUGUCUUUUCCUCGCUUCUCACUAUCCAGAGCCGAGCUCUAAGUCUUCAUCAUUCCGAGGUUGCUUAUGACUCCUAUAGUUCAAGCCGAGCCACCAGCUUGAUAUUUAUUCCUCGUUCUGCGAGAUGUUUCAACAUAUGAAAUGUUGCACUACGACUGUACUUAUCUUCAGAGAGCUUGUUACGCCUCUGCUUAGCCACAACAUGGUUCUGUUAAGAGAGAGGACUUAUAUUAUCUCUUGCAGGGUUGAGCUAUCUACCAUGCAAGGACGUCAGGUGCCACGACGUUGGGAAGACCCACCUCAUUAUAAACAAAAAUGGAACCUUUCAUGGAUGGAUCAAAUACCGUGGAAGAUGCCUUUGCACAGAAGAGUAAACCCCUUGCAAAGAGGUCAAAAAUCAAAUCAUAUAUAUGAUAUAUGAUGAGCCAAAGAGCUCUAGAGAGUAUGAGAAGCCACAACUUCAUAAAAUAUAAAAAGUCGAAGAGCUUCAGGAAAAGUGACGAGCCAAAGAGCUCCAAAAUGGCAUAUCAGGGCAAAGAGCUUCGAAAAAAUAGGGACAUCGGUUCCCUUCCUUGAAAAUUCAGCAAAAUAUUAAAGAUAAAUAGCUUCGACACAUAAUUUCAGCUCCUUCAUCAACACUUCUAAGCCAAAGACUCAGAUUACUUCGGGGCUUCAGAUAACACCCACUAAAGUGCUUGUGCCUAUUUUUAUUAAGUUAUUUCCUUUUAAAUCCCCAUUAUGUGAAUAUCUAUGCCUAAAUUUGGGGGACAAUUGUGAUUACUGUUAGCAUGCAUAUCACAUUAUUGCUAGCAUGCUUCAAGACCCAUGGCAUCAUUUUUACCAGCGCUAGUAUGCAUGACACGUUACAUACACCAUCAUCAAGCAUAUGAUCUACUAUGAUAUAUGAUAGUUUUCUUGCAUAUUAUAUCUUGAAAAAAUGUGAUAUGUCAUUUAUGAGUAUUUGGAGGGGCAAAAUGGAGCUGUGCUAAUUUGACAUAUGUGUAGUAAAUAUAUUGUUUUGUGCUGUAGCAUUGGUUUAAUCCACAUUACAAAGGAGAUGCUGCCGAAAUUUUGACAGAAUGUAUGACAUUUCCCGAAGCAUAUUAGUGAAGAAGAAAGUAGGCCAAGAGAGGCACUUCAACAAAAAGAGCUGGAACUCGAAGAGGUCCACCUCAGAAUAGCCCAAGAGGCACUUCUAUGAAAGUAGACCAAGGGAGGCACUUCAACAAAAAGAGUUGGACCCCGAAGAGGACCACUCGAAAAUAAAAGCGAACAGAAUGUAUCACAAAGGUAGGAACAAAGAAAAUUUGACCCGCAUAUGAAUGAUACAACUCAGGCUUGGGGGGACUAUAUGUUAUAUCCUUAAAUCACUUCACAUUGGGCCUUAUUAUUGGACUCGGACAAGGCCCAUUAGAGUUGGACAGCAUAGGCCCAAGAGGCAGCCAAGUAAAAGCCUAAGCUGAGACUCUCAAGGGGUCAUCUGAGGUGCCUUAAAGGGCUAGCCGAGGCGCUCCCAAUGAGCUAGCCGCGGUGCCUUCCAAGAUGGUCGAAGUACCUGACGAGGUAGUCCACAGAGGUCCCAAGAGGUCCUCCAAGGCUCAGCCGAAGUGCAUCUAAACCUAACCUGAAGCUGUCUAAAGAUCAUCCGAAGUGGUCUAAUCAAGGCACAAGAAGAGGUCUAACCGAGGUGCUUUCAAAGGUGCUACCAAGAUCCCAAGAAGCCCAUCUGAAGCACUUGCUGAUGUACCUAUUGCUAUGCUAAUACAACCACCUCAUACUGAGCUUAAACUUAGGCCCAAUGAAGCACUUAGCCCAUUUCAUUUGCCUAUAUAUAUGAGAAUCCCUUUCAUUUCCAGGUAUGCCUAAACACUUUAACAACAUUUCCUCUCUUCCUACUAUUGCACUCUAUAUAUUUAUCUUCGUCCGACCGUUGACUUGACUGUCAAAGUGCAAACGGUUGCCGAACCUUUUUCUAGGCCUACGGCCUUUGCUCCCUAACGAGGUGCCACGUGUGCAAGUAUGGAGAAGACGAGAUCGAGACGCCUGUUGGCCAUUUUCGAAGGGCAACAAUUUUGAUAAGGAUUAAAAAUAUCAUUUAUAAUUUUUUGAAAUUCUAAAGGAGUGUUUUUGAGACCAAAAUGCAUGACAUUCCAUUAGUAUUGACCAAAUGAAACAUUGAAAGCGGUUUUGUAUUUAUCUUUUUUUAUUUGAAUCUAGCAAAAACCAAAUUUCAUAUCGAAUUUUGAGAAAAUAACAGUUUUGAGUAAUCUAUUU